GAAGUAUUAGUAAAACAAUUACAUAACUUUGUCGAAGUUAAAUCAUAGGUUUGAAUCCUAUAUACUUCU
This 69-nucleotide transfer RNA is filed under the name Prionailurus bengalensis (leopard cat). RNAcentral's name for it is "tRNA-Asp". It matches the Rfam family "tRNA". Rfam says of the family: Transfer RNA (tRNA) molecules are approximately 80 nucleotides in length. The record is from RNAcentral. Lineage: Eukaryota; Metazoa; Chordata; Mammalia; Carnivora; Felidae.